Molecule: long non-coding RNA, 779 nt
Organism: Hemicordylus capensis (graceful crag lizard)
Lineage: Eukaryota; Metazoa; Chordata; Lepidosauria; Squamata; Cordylidae
Exons: 2
Source: RefSeq, a predicted model, not a curated record
CUCGAGUAGGGCCCAAGCAAGCCAGGAAGGAGGCGGCAGCCAGAGUGUUCUCUGCAGCAGAAGACCCUUUGCUGCCCUGCUUAACCCAGACCAGCAUUUGCCAGAUUAUAGUGGUUUGAAAACCUGAUUUCGUUCUGAUGUACCUUUUCAAGAAUUAAAAUCACCUGGAGUCUUCUUGGCAGCAGUCCUGACAUGUCAUCAUAUGGAAUUUGGAGGCAGAAGAUUCAAUUUAUUACUUUAGACAAUUUUUAUCCUGACUUUCUGCUUGUGCAAGUGUUCAAGGCAGCUAACAAAAAUGGCAAUUAAAACAUAUUUUAAAACAAUCAGAACAGCUUUAAAAUAACAGCAAUUGAAUGAUGAGAAAGAAAGAGCUGAAAACAGAAAACAAAAACCCCAGUCAAUAACGACAACAGCUGAGCUUAAAUGCUAGUUUAAAGAGAUUAUUUUUUUUUUAACGGUGGCAAAAAUGCAAUGAGGGUGCCAGGAAGAUAUGAGUCCGGGCUCUCCAUAACCUUGGUGCAUGUAAGAGCUCUUUCACAUGUUCCUACUUCACAAACAUCAGAUAAAUACUUAAUACUGAUGGUGGUUUUUAACAUAACUUUUUAUUUGUUUACUCAAUUUGUUUAAUUUUAUUACUUUUAUUGUAUACUGUAUCUAUUUUAUUGUUGUGAGCCGCCCCGAGCAGUAGUGUACUAGAGGAGUGGGAUAUAAAUAUCUUAAAUAAAGAAUGAAUGAAUGAAUAAAUAAAUAAAUAAAUAAAAGUGGAACAUGUAAAAGAA